Molecule: unclassified non-coding RNA, 250 nt
Filed under: plant metagenome
Description: partial contains small subunit ribosomal RNA, internal transcribed spacer 1, and 5.8S ribosomal RNA
Source: RNAcentral
AUAGCUAGUCUAUGGAAGAACAGUAAUGUUCCUUCCGCAGAGUACACUUGCAGAAGCCUUAGUAGCCCGAAAGGGUUCUAUCAACGACUAUAAACAAGUAGGUAGAUUAAAUGCUAGUCUCCUACGAGGCGACACUAUCAAAUUGCGGGAAGAUCCUGUUAUGUUCACAUCACCGCGGCUCGUCGAAAGACAGGGUGCAGCACCAGGCUAACAACCUUGGGUAUGGUAAAAGUAUGUGAAAUAGGGAGGA